AGAAUCGGUGGAUUAUAACUUUGAGCGGU
This 29-nucleotide ribosomal RNA is filed under the name Albinaria voithii. RNAcentral describes it as "partial 5.8S ribosomal RNA". Lineage: Eukaryota; Metazoa; Mollusca; Gastropoda; Stylommatophora; Clausiliidae. The record is from RNAcentral.